UGUUCCUGUGCACACUGUUGUGACUGGAUUCUGUGGCUGUGGUUGCUGAAGUCUGGUUGUGCCAGGAUGCUUUGUUUCACUCAGUGCAGAAGAAGAUGUCAAGCAGUAAUUUUUGUGGAUGUCCCCACAGCUACUUUGGUUCUACCUUGCUAUUAGAGGGGUAUGAGCACAAAGAUAGAUUUGCUGCUCCAGCUGGAAAAGCUCAGGCAAGGAGGAACGACAUGGCUUCCCCAAGGUGAUCUGUUGAGUUGGUGUCAGAUUGGGAGGAAGAUCCUGUGUUUCCUGCCUGCUGUGUGGAUGCUGUGCCUCAUCGUGCUGGUAAGGUGAUGAGAAGAAGCAGCUUGAUGAGCCCCAAGAACAAAAAUCUCCAUUUACUUGCACUUAUAAACUCUUACCUGCUUUACCAAGGCAUCCUGCAUCUGCCAAGAAAAGUUUGUUCUGGAAAAAGGAAAGAUCUGCUGUGAGAUUACACUGAGGCACCUGAUUUCUAAGGACCCAGAAAUAAGAGAAGGUAUCCCAGAUAACUGAGACAAGCACCCUAAUACAGGAACACA
Long non-coding RNA from Coturnix japonica (Japanese quail), 554 nucleotides. RefSeq lists it as uncharacterized. The record is from RefSeq and is a predicted model, not a curated record. NCBI's taxonomy places the organism in Eukaryota, Metazoa, Chordata, Aves, Galliformes, Phasianidae.